ACGGGUGAGUAAUGUCUGGGGAUCUGCCCGAUAGAGGGGGAUAACCACUGGAAACGGUGGCUAAUACCGCAUAACGUCGCAAGACCAAAGAAGGGGACCUUCGGGCCUCUCACUAUCGGAUGAACCCAGAUGGGAUUAGCUAGUAGGCGGGGUAACGGCCCACCUAGGCGACGAUCCCUAGCUGGUCUGAGAGGAUGACCAGCCACACUGGAACUGAGACACGGUCCAGACUCCUACGGGAGGCAGCAGUGGGGAAUAUUGCACAAUGGGCGCAAGCCUGAUGCAGCCAUGCCGCGUGUAUGAAGAAGGCCUUCGGGUUGUAAAGUACUUUCAGCGGGGAGGAAGGCGAUGUGGUUAAUAACCGCGUCGAUUGACGUUACCCGCAGAAGAAGCACCGGCUAACUCCGUGCCAGCAGCCGCGGUAAUACGGAGGGUGCAAGCGUUAAUCGGAAUUACUGGGCGUAAAGCGCACGCAGGCGGUCUGUUAAGUCAGAUGUGAAAUCCCCGGGCUUAACCUGGGAACUGCAUUUGAAACUGGCAGGCUUGAGUCUCGUAGAGGGGGGUAGAAUUCCAGGUGU
RNAcentral lists this ribosomal RNA (578 nucleotides) under uncultured bacterium. Its description in RNAcentral is "bacterial SSU rRNA". It matches the Rfam family "Bacterial small subunit ribosomal RNA", at positions 102 to 676 of the family's 1533-position model. The record is from RNAcentral.